This 473-nucleotide ribosomal RNA is filed under the name uncultured bacterium. Its description in RNAcentral is "bacterial SSU rRNA". It matches the Rfam family "Bacterial small subunit ribosomal RNA", at positions 335 to 803 of the family's 1533-position model. The record is from RNAcentral.
ACUCCUACGGGAGGCAGCAGUGGGGAAUAUUGCACAAUGGGCGCAAGCCUGAUGCAGCCAUGCCGCGUGUAUGAAGAAGGCCUUCGGGUUGUAAAGUACUUUCAGCAGUGAGGAAGGUGGGUAUGUUAAUAGCAUAUUCAUUUGACGUUAGCUGCAGAAGAAGCACCGGCUAACUCCGUGCCAGCAGCCGCGGUAAUACGGAGGGUGCGAGCGUUAAUCGGAAUUACUGGGCGUAAAGCGCAUGCAGGUGGUUUGUUAAGUCAGAUGUGAAAGCCCGGGGCUCAACCUCGGAAUUGCAUUUGAAACUGGUAAACUAGAGUACUGUAGAGGGGGUAGGAAUUUCAGGUGUAGCGGUGAAAUGCGUAGAGAUCUGAAGGAAUACCGGUGGCGAAGGCGGCCCCUGGACGAGAUACUGACACUCAGAUGCGAAAGCGUGGGAGCAAACAGGAUUAGAUACCCCUGGUAGCGACUGA